Molecule: transfer RNA, 64 nt
Filed under: Bazzania fasciculata
Lineage: Eukaryota; Viridiplantae; Streptophyta; Jungermanniopsida; Jungermanniales; Lepidoziaceae
Description: partial tRNA-Phe
Rfam family: tRNA
About the family: Transfer RNA (tRNA) molecules are approximately 80 nucleotides in length.
Source: RNAcentral
GCCGGAAUAGCUCAGUUGGUAGAGCARAGGACUGAMAAUCCUCGUGUCACCUGUUCAAAUACUG